Long non-coding RNA from Daphnia pulex (common water flea), 603 nucleotides. RefSeq lists it as uncharacterized. The transcript is spliced from 3 exons. Lineage: Eukaryota; Metazoa; Arthropoda; Branchiopoda; Diplostraca; Daphniidae. The record is from RefSeq and is a predicted model, not a curated record.
AAUGUUAAACACGAGCAGUAGGUAACCAUUAACUUUUGUUUAUUGGAUGAAUAUUGGAAUAUUUAUUGACAUAUUUCCUUUAGAUUCAACAUGACUAACUGCUAACUAAAUAAAUGGAUGAAUGAUAUCCACCAGGUAGCGCGACUGCGCGAGUGUCUUCAGGGAUUCUUAGCAGCCAUUUUGUUCCAAGACGCAGUUGAAGUAGGUUGUUGGCUGUCACGCUCCUCACGAUGAAAAUUAAAAGGUGAUUUUGGACGUUGAAACUAAUUUGCCAAUUCAACUCAGACUUGGAAGUACCUGUACAUUUCCGAAAUGGCGUGCCUCGUGUGUCAUGCUGCCUCUUCUUAGGCGUACGUCUCAUCUCAUGCAACAGAAAAAAGUAUAACAAACACUUCUUUAACGCUGGUGGUUACCUUGUUGCAGCCAAAUGGUGAAAGGUGUGACGAAGACCGAUUGAGCCUUAGUAUGCAGCAUGCAGUUGCAGUGUAAUCCAGAAGUUGCUGUGCUGUUGUAGCUGAGCUGUUGCAUCUAGGUUCCUGAUUUUAAAAUGUUUGUGUUUUCAUCCAUGCCAUAUGAAAUUGCUCUGCCAGUGAUAUUUCGUGA